UGCCGUCUUAACAUCCAUUUGAUGGACAUUUAGAUUAUAUAUUGAUGCCAAAGCAAAUAAUACUCUUAUUGAGGAGAUUCAAUUGCCUUUCUUUUAUUGUUAGAAGAAGAACUAGGUUCUGCACAAUUUUCUUGAGUUACUGCAUUAUCACCAAUGCUUGUUGCAUUACCAUCUUGUUUAGUAAUUUCUGUGUCCUCAUGUGAAUUAUUAGAGUCACCAAUGAACUUUGUUUCCAAGAACUCAACAUCUUUAGAUUCCACAA
Molecule: long non-coding RNA, 262 nt
Organism: Nicotiana attenuata
Lineage: Eukaryota; Viridiplantae; Streptophyta; Magnoliopsida; Solanales; Solanaceae
Exons: 2
Source: RefSeq, a predicted model, not a curated record